UCAGUAGUCUGCUUUAAUAUGCUGCUUAAACACAAUCAACCAACCAACCAACUUGCAAUUCCCUACAAAAGGUUUCAAUAUAUCUUAUGAAAAGAAAGGAAACCCCUCCACAUAUGUCGUAGUUGUUUUGGUCUGCUGAUCUGGCAAGAGGAAAACAAAACCAAGGAUCAAUGGCAAAACAUUACAAAUUCCAGACUUGCCCCUCCACGUUAAGGCACACAUGUAGUCUUUACACACUAGAGUUGUCCCCAGACGAAGACUGGAUCCUGGACCGGAUGGACAAAUCCCUGUUGUGUGAACACAGAGCUCCAUCAACUUCAGUGGGGAAGGAGGAGACAUUGAAUUAAUGUGAUGCAUCUUGAUCAUCCAAAGACAAUCUCAGGAAUUAUUUCCUCCCCUUCUUCUCCUCUACCCAUAAUUAAUAUUAUCUGCUACUGUCCUUGCAGCAAUGACUGAAGGAGCAACAGAAUAAAAGUAGUGACCCAAGAAAGAAAAUAGUUUCUAUUCAUUCAUUCAUACCAGGCUAGAUUUUGACUUACCUACAAUGCACAUCAAUGUAAGUGCAUGAAGAAAAAUAUGAGGCUCUCAU
This is a long non-coding RNA of Alligator mississippiensis (American alligator), 589 nucleotides long. RefSeq lists it as uncharacterized. The transcript has 4 exons. NCBI's taxonomy places the organism in Eukaryota, Metazoa, Chordata, Crocodylia, Alligatoridae. The record is from RefSeq and is a predicted model, not a curated record.